GGCCGAGCCACGCCGUGCCCGCGGCCCGCGGCCGCCAUGCAGUUUAUGUUGCUUUUUAGUCGUCAGGGAAAGCUUCGACUGCAGAAAUGGUAUGUCCCACUGUCAGACAAAGAAAAGAAAAAGAUCACAAGAGAACUUGUUCAAACCGUUUUAGCACGGAAACCGAAAAUGUGCAGCUUUCUUGAGUGGCGAGAUCUGAAGAUUGUUUACAAAAGAUAUGCUAGUCUGUAUUUUUGCUGUGCUAUCGAGGAUCAGGACAAUGAGCUAAUUACCCUGGAAAUAAUUCAUCGUUAUGUGGAAUUACUUGACAAGUAUUUUGGCAGUGUGUGUGAACUUGAUAUCAUCUUUAAUUUUGAGAAGGCUUAUUUUAUUUUGGAUGAGUUUCUUUUGGGAGGGGAAGUUCAGGAAACAUCCAAGAAAAAUGUCCUUAAAGCAAUUGAGCAGGCUGAUCUACUGCAGGAGAGCCAGAAUGAAGAAUGGGGAGGUUUGUCUGAGGAUAUCUUAUGAUAAAGAGCAGUCUAAGGCUUUAGUCCCUUUGACCCCCAACUUAUUUCUUGGAUGCAAAAGAAGCUGAAACCCCACGUAGUGUUCUUGAAGAAAUUGGACUGACAUAACUCACCUCCCUUGUUGAUGACUUCUUGUGACAUUUCACACACUGUAGAUGGUCACUGCCUUCAUGUCCAUGUUAGCUAAUGGUAUAAGAUGACGUCUUGUCAGUAUUACUGUUUUGCUAAGCUGCUUCAUUCAGGCCUACACACAAAAAAAAUUUUUUUAAAGGGAACUUUGGUUAAUCAAGUGAUAAGGGACUUAAACAUGAGUUAGAAUGAUGCAGAAAAAGAAAGGUACCUUUUCUGGAUAUUUUAGUUUUUAAAUCUGUUUCUCUCAAUCUGAUUAUGUAUCUAUGAAAAUGACACAAUUAGGCAAGCUACAUUCAUUAAUUACGGUCUUUGGCAAAGGAAACUGUUAAAAAUUAUAAUAUGAAACCUGGUUAUAUGAAACCAAAGACUAGUGUGGGACAUUUCAGUAUAUCUGAGGAUAAAGGGAAUUGAUACAUAUCAAAUGAAUUAAAAUUUAACUGUUUAUGUUGAAACUUUAAAACAGAGAACCAAAUUUAUACCAAAGACCCUCAUGGAAACUACAUACUUAAAGGGAAUACACAAAUGACUAAAUUGAAAUGGUGUGUUUUACACUAAAAGAUCUUUCCCUGGCAUUCCAGACCUGGGACGAGGAACAGAGAGCGACUAAUAGUGAGCACGUUAUUUUUAAGGCCAAGGAACAUUCAACUCCUGAGACAGAUUUUUUUGUGGUCAUAACCAUGUAGUGACUUAGAUGGUUUUUGAUGCCCCCAAAUAAAAAAGGAAACAUUGACGUAACCUGGAAUUCUUCAUAACAGCAUCUUACAGAAAACAUGUUUCUUCUCUUCACAGAGUGUUGCUUAAGUCAUUGUUUGAAGCACGACUAUUCCUUCCAGGGUGCUUGUUAGAGCCAAAUUUAUUUAGCUUCCCUCCACUUACAAGUGCUGCAAACGUUAGGGCAGCUUCAUUCCCUUCCAUGGCACUGCCUAGUUAUCAGAAAUCUUCUAAAAGACACCACCUUUCAUAUAAAAGUGAUAGUCGAAUGAGGUAAAAUGGCAUUAGUGGGCCCUAUAUUUUUUAAAGCUGUACAAUUGUUUCAAUGUCACUUUUCUACAUACUUCUGUGUAUGUAAACAUGUCUUCAUGGUUUACACUUUUCAUUUGUAUCUGCUGGGCUGGAUUAAGCUUUGUUGUGAUUGUGACCAAUACAUAUUCGGGCCAUGUUAGCACUGUCUUAUCACAUCACCAAUUGGUUGUAAUAAAUGUUCAACAUAUACCAUUGUAGUGUGUUUUUAUCUUUCUCUUUGCAAAGGUUUAUCAACUAUGGGGAGCUGCUUAAAGAAUUUUACAUUUUUUCAGUCAAAUGUCAAAAAUUCAUCUCCGUUUCAAUGUGGUUGCUAAAAGCACACACAAGAUAAACGGUGGAAGAUGUAAGGAAUCUUGAUGUACUUCAAGCUCAUUAAAAAAUAAUGUGGAUUCCAUGCUGAGAGCCUAUCCACACAUUUAUUUUCAAUCAAUAAAUGCCGCUUUUAAAACCUUGA
Molecule: RNA transcript, 2115 nt
Organism: Herpailurus yagouaroundi (jaguarundi)
Lineage: Eukaryota; Metazoa; Chordata; Mammalia; Carnivora; Felidae
Gene: AP1S2
Gene name: adaptor related protein complex 1 subunit sigma 2
Exons: 7
Source: RefSeq, a predicted model, not a curated record